GAGUGGCGGACGGGUGAGUAAUGCUUGGGAACUUGCCUUUGCGAGGGGGAUAACAGUUGGAAACGACUGCUAAUACCGCAUAAUGUCUUCGGACCAAACGGGGCUUUUAGCUCCGGCGCAAAGAGAGGCCCAAGUGAGAUUAGCUAGAUGGUGAGGUAAAGGCUCACCAUGGCGACGAUCUCUAGCUGUUCUGAGAGGAAGAUCAGCCACACUGGGACUGAGACACGGCCCAGACUCCUACGGGAGGCAGCAGUGGGGAAUAUUGCACAAUGGGGGAAACCCUGAUGCAGCCAUGCCGCGUGUGUGAAGAAGGCCUUCGGGUUGUAAAGCACUUUCAGUUGUGAGGAAAGGUUGGUAGUUAAUACCUGCCAGCUGUGACGUUAACAACAGAAGAAGCACCGGCUAACUCCGUGCCAGCAGCCGCGGUAAUACGGAGGGUGCGAGCGUUAAUCGGAAUUACUGGGCGUAAAGCGCACGCAGGCGGUUUGUUAAGCUAGAUGUGAAAGCCCCGGGCUCAACCUGGGAUGGUCAUUUAGAACUGGCAGACUAGAGUCUUGGAGAGGGGAGUGGAAUUCCAGGUGUAGCGGUGAAAUGCGUAGAUAUCUGG
RNAcentral lists this ribosomal RNA (607 nucleotides) under Alteromonas confluentis. RNAcentral describes it as "bacterial SSU rRNA". It matches the Rfam family "Bacterial small subunit ribosomal RNA", at positions 93 to 701 of the family's 1533-position model. The record is from RNAcentral. Lineage: Bacteria; Pseudomonadati; Pseudomonadota; Gammaproteobacteria; Alteromonadales; Alteromonadaceae.